UCGAGAAUCUUCGGCAAUGGGCGCAAGCCUGACCGAGCGACGCCGCGUGCGAGAUGAAGGCCUUCGGGUUGUAAAUCGCUGUCAGAGGGGAGGAAAUGCCGGUGGGUUCUCCCAUCGGUUUGACCUAUCCUCAGAGGAAGGACGGGCUAAGUUCGUGCCAGCAGCCGCGGUAAGACGAACCGUCCAAACGUUAUUCGGAAUCACUGGGCUUAAAGGGUGCGUAGGCGGUCCGGGAAGUUGGGUGUGAAAGCCCUCAGCUCAACUGAGGAAUUGCGCCCAAAACUGCCGGACUUGAGGGAGACAUAGGUGAGCGGAACUUAGGGUGGAGCGGUGAAAUGCGUUGAGAUCCUAAGGAACACCAGUAGCGAAAGCGGCUCACUGGGUCUCUUCUGACGCUGAUGCACGAAAGCUAGGGGAGCGAAGA
RNAcentral lists this ribosomal RNA (424 nucleotides) under uncultured prokaryote. RNAcentral's name for it is "bacterial SSU rRNA". It matches the Rfam family "Bacterial small subunit ribosomal RNA", at positions 355 to 774 of the family's 1533-position model. The record is from RNAcentral.